AUAAGUAACUUGCCUCGAAGAUCGGGAUAGCCGCGGGAAACUGCGAGUAAUACCGGAUGUGACGAGUGGGGGGCAUCCCCUGCUCAUUAAAUGGUUUUUCGCUUCGAGAGCGGCUUAUGACACAUCAGCUAGUUGGUGGGGUAAAGGCCUACCAAGGCGACGACGUGUAGGGGGUCUGAGAGGAUGAUCCCCCCGAGUGGGACUGAGACACGGCC
Molecule: ribosomal RNA, 215 nt
Filed under: uncultured bacterium
Lineage: Bacteria
Description: partial 16S ribosomal RNA
Rfam family: Bacterial small subunit ribosomal RNA
Source: RNAcentral